Molecule: ribosomal RNA, 317 nt
Filed under: Cladosporium sp.
Lineage: Eukaryota; Fungi; Ascomycota; Dothideomycetes; Cladosporiales; Cladosporiaceae
Description: SSU rRNA
Rfam family: Eukaryotic small subunit ribosomal RNA
Source: RNAcentral
CGAGUUCAUUUCCUUGUCCGAAAGGUCUGGGUAAUCUUGUUAAACUCUGUCGUGCUGGGGAUAGAGCAUUGCAAUUAUUGCUCUUCAACGAGGAAUGCCUAGUAAGCGCAUGUCAUCAGCAUGCGUUGAUUACGUCCCUGCCCUUUGUACACACCGCCCGUCGCUACUACCGAUUGAAUGGCUCGGUGAGGCCUUCGGACUGGCCCAGGGAGGUCGGCAACGACCACCCAGGGCCGGAAAGUUGGUCAAACCCGGUCAUUUAGAGGAAGUAAAAGUCGUAACAAGGUCUCCGUAGGUGAACCUGCGGAGGGAUCAUU